GAACAUUUACUCCAAUAAGGCCUCACAAUCAGAGACAGCUGCUACAGUUACUCCGCUCGGGAAUCACGGCGUCCAUGGAUGGCCUGUCAUAAGGAGACUCGUUGGUGCAGAGCGAGGCGAUUUUUGCAAGUUUAGCUGCCUCGUACUCGAAGAACCUUCCAUGGAUAUUCCCAUCAAUGAAUUCUUGGAAUCUGCACGAUUCAACAGCCAGACGCAUGGAGUGAUCUAUUUUCUGCUUCCCCGACAAGAUCUGGAACACGAUCAUUCCAAACGCGUAGACAUCACUCUUCUCCGUGAACCGGCCCGUGGACGUGUACUCGGGCGCUAGGUAGCCCAUGGCAGCGCUAGCUUUAGAGCAACGAGAACAUAACAUCAUUUGUCAGGAGCCUGUGGAGACCAGAUUGGUAGAGCAACGGAUUGAAUCGCUGGUCUAUGAGCACCUUGGCUGCUGAGAUGUUUUGGUGAAAGGAGGGGGGCCUUGUUUGGUUUGUGAGCGUGCAAAUAGGCAAUACCUGUUUCGUAGGAUUAUUUGAAAAUCAACAAAAUCAGAGGUGCAACUUGCAAGUAGAAGACAUCAAAAUCAGUUGAUCCCCNNNNNNNNNNNNNNNNNNNNNNNNNNNNNNNNNNNNNNNNNNNNNNNNNNNNNNNNNNNNNNNNNNNNNNNNNNNNNNNNNNNNNNNNNNNNNNNNNNNNNNNNNNNNNNNNNNNNNNNNNNNNNNNNNNNNNNNNNNNNNNNNNNNNNNNNNNNNNNNNNNNNNNNNNNNNNNNNNNNNNNNNNNNNNNNNNNNNNNNNNNNNNNNNNNNNNNNNNNNNNNNNNNNNNNNCUGCUCACUAGCAGUCCAAAGCACUGUCAAUGAUGCAUCAGAAGAAAUUAGAACUAGAGGUAUUGCUUUGAAGGUUCUUACUUGCUUAUAUACAUACAGGUAUAUAUUGAUUUGCGAACUUGAUCUAUAAAACUGAAAUUUGAAAUAAUUUUAUGAUUGGUUGGAAGAGUGUGCUAAUGGUUUCAAGCCCUUGGCACUAUGACCUAAAACAAUUGAAAGGAGUUUUCAGUGUGUCUAAUAUUCUCUGGGCAUCUUACUUGGGCCAAACCAUCGGCUGAUAUAGAUGAAGACAUAUACCAAGGGGCAUCUUGGUAGACCUUGUCCCAGGGCGUUAAGUGUAGUUAUAGUUUGAUAUUGACCACAUGAUUGACCAAUGAGUUAGACCACUGGUAUUUAUUAUGAUAUUAUUGAUUGAAUGAGAAUAUAUUAAAUGUAUAAAGUUAUAUUAAACUGGUAUAACUAAUCUUUAAUGUAUAUUACAUGCUGAAUUUGGAUAAAUGUGUUGCUGGUAUUGUUUAAAUGUGCAUAACCGAUACUCAAUCUACUUAAAAGAGAUUUAUACUACUCAAUCGGCGAUGAUUUGCUCGGAUCCUUCAUCUCAAUUCUUUUUCAGGUUUUAACGACUAGUAGCAAAUAGAAAGAGAGUGGAAUCAGUGAGGAAAUUUGGGAGUUCGAGUUUGGUAUGACUUAAGAUAGCUGUAUACAUAUGAAAUGCUAGUUAUCGAGUUUAAUAUAGAAGUCACUAGAGAUGCACUUAUUCUUUUUUGUAGACUUUAGAACUAUGAUCAUGUAUCUAUAAUGUUGAUUUUGUAUAUGAUGCUCCAUGAUUUUCUCCAUACAUGAAGAUUUAGGGUGUGACCAAUAAGGGACAAUGUGAGUGACCAAAUUGCCCAGAUACUGAAAGGACAGCUCUCAAGUCAAAUGAAACAUUAAUUUUGAGCAUUUUAUCACAAUAGUUAGUUUCAUGGUAUAUGGAGAUCGACCUUCAAGGUUGGCAUGGCAAGUAAUGUGUCAUGUCACAAGCGGACUUUGUAUAAGUGAAUCAUAUUCGAGCUGGACUUGACAAGAACUUUCGAGUAAAACUUAAAUUUGUUACAGCAAACUCCAAAGCCAACAUGAUUUGAUAAGUUUUGAUCCUUACCUUUUUCUUUUCAUUUAAAAUCGAAAGCAAUUUUUCAUCGCAAUGAAACAAUAUGGAAAGCAAUGAGACAGCAUGAGGCCAGCGAUCGAAUAUGAUGCCACGGCAUGAUUUAACGGUCCUAAAUGUGUUGCCAUUAGAGAGAUCGCCACGUCAACUUAGAGACCUCUCAUGGCUAUGAGAUUUGAAGAGAUGAUGAAACUCGCGAUAAAUUUAGGGGAAAGAGAUUCAAAUGCUUUCACAGCCUGAAGGAGCAUGCCAUCGUAUUUUGGCCAUUUCUUGUUUCAGUCUCGAUCAAAUCAAAGUAGAUUCUGAUUAGUCUUUUCUGGGUGUGGUCCUAUCGCUACAUUCAAUGAAAAUACAGAGCCAUCGGAUUCCAUGUGAAGGCCGACACCUUCUUCAAAGAUUUUUGCUGCAUUUUGUACUCUACUUGGGCUCGCUCACUCUGAAAUGAGGAAGCACAGAUUCACCAUUCAGGCCAUUGCCACUGGAGAGGUAAAACCCAAAAUACUCCGUGAAAGUGGUCUCUCUGUACAUGGGUGGAUUGUCCUCAUCGAGAAGCUCCUUUAUUGGCCCAUACGGCUUUGACAUCUGUGUCUCUCCUGGUACGAGGAAGCAUGCGACUGACACCCGGGGCCCGGCCUUCCUGGCAAGGACCCGGUGCUCCACGCUCUUGAACUUGUCGUUGCUAACAAGCUGCAAUCAACAAGAUCAGGGAAAACGAAAGUCAUUCUUCAACUCGAAGAUAACUCGACGUUAAUCCACCCAGAAACGUAGGCAACGAGAUGUGAAUGAUCUUUGUACCUGCAUGAGGUCUCCAAUGUUGGCUAGGAUGGCUCCAGGCACCGGGGACACAUCGACCCACUGGUCCUGGUGCCGGACUUGGAGGCCGCCAUGGUGGUUUUGCAGGAGAAGAGUGAGAUAUGUGGCAUCCGAGUGAUUGAUUGUGCCCAGAGUCAGCUCUGGCUGAGGGCAAGUUGGGUAGUAACGGCUUACUAUUCUCUUGGAGUCCAUGCAUUCAAUGUCACCAAGAUAGCCUGAAUCGAGCCCCAGUGCCUCUGAUAGUAGUUCAGACAGAGAUCUCUUCAAUUUUUCCACGUGUUUUUCGUACUCAAAAACUGGCUCUCUGCAAAGGAGGGAAAGUAAACAUCACGUGGUAAAGAAUACUUGAACCUAUGCAAAUAGAGAAGGGUGUUGGAUUAUAAUGUCUCAAGUUGCUGUUUUCUGUUUUGUUUUUUUUACUCUGUUUUCUGCUGUUUUCUGUUCUGUUUUCUGCUCUGUUUUACUCUGUUUUUUUAUUAAAAAACAGCCAAGUUCAAUUUAGUUAUUUAUUUAGUGUUUUUGUUAUUUUCUAGGAAGUUAAUAGCACGUUUGUGUGCAAUUAUGUGUUGCACAUACGUGAGCAGUUUUUGCUUUGUUUAAGUUGUCCUGUACUUGACAAUUUCCUUUAGAACAGACGUAUGCAAGUUUGUGUUCUGUUUCUCUGCGCUUCUCUUCCUCAUCUGAAAAAUAUAGCUUCUAGUUUUCUAUUUUCUUGUUUACUGUUUUGAUCAGUAACAACAGUGGUAUCAGAGCGUGUGUGAUCUUGAGGGACUGUGAAGUGAAGCAAGUAUCGAAGUGUAAAGAAGUUAAAGGGUGAUGGAGACAGGGUCGAGUGGUUUCUCUGCGAUGGCUUCUCCAGUAUUUACUGGAGAGAAUUAUCAAGCAUGGGCUGUUAAGAUGACAGCAUUUUUGGAGGGUCAUGAUCUGUGGGAAGCUGUGGAGGAUGAUUAUGAAGUUGCUCCACUUCCCGAUAAUCCGACCAUGAAUCAAAUCAAACUUCAUAAAGAGAGAACCACAAUAAAAGCCAAGGCAAAAUCUUGCCUGUAUGCUGCUGUCUCGCCUACCAUAUUUACCAUAAUUAUGAAGUGUGACUCUGCAAAGGCCAUAUGGGACUUCUUGAAGGAAGAAUAUGAAGGAGAUGAGAAGAUAAGAGGUAUGAAGGUGCUGAAUCUCUUGAGGGAGUUUGAGAGACAGCAGAUGAAGGAUUCAGAGUCAGUGAAGGAGUACUCUGAUAGGUUGGUUGGGAUAGCUGAUAAAAUCAGAGUUUUAGGGACUGACUUGAAGGAUGAAAGGCUUGUUCAGAAGAUUCUGGUGUCUCUUCCAGAGAAGUUCGAAGCCACCAUAGCGUCUCUGGAAAAUACAAGAGACUUACCUGAUAUAAAGCUUGCAGAAUUGUUGAAUGCUUUGCAGGCGCAGGAGCACAGAAGACUGAUGAGAAGAGAAGAGUUUGUAGAGGGUGCGCUGCAAGCUAGAGUGAAGUCAAAUGAUGGAGGCAAAGGGAAGAAAUGGAUUCAGUCUAGAGAAAAUGUUGGUGACUCCAAGUUUGUAGCAAAAGAAGGAAAUUCUGGUGGGUCUAGCAAAUGGAAGAUGAACAAAAAGCCUUGUCAAUACUGUGGUGGAACUAAUCAUCAGUUUUUUAGAUGUUGGAGAAAGCCUGAUGCUAGAUGCAGAAGAUGUCACAAGUUGGGUCACAUGGAAGCCAUCUGCAAAGAAAAAAAUUACCGGCAAGCAGGAAAAGCCCAGGUAGCAGUGAAUGAAACUAAGGAAGAGCACUUAUUGUAGCUUCUUUUUCUGAAUCUUCUGUUGGGAAUGAUGCAUGGCUGGUGGAUAGUGGCUGUACCAAUCAUAUGAUUGGCAAUUCGAAGCUGUUUAGGAGUCUAGACAGGUCAGUUAGGUCCAGAGUCAGAAUUGGCAAUGGACAGUAUAUCGAAGUGCAAGGGAAGGGUACAGUGGCUAUUGAAGGAAAUCAGGAGGUGAAGCUGAUCAGUGAUGUUCUCUUUGUGCCAAAUAUUGACCAUAAUUUGUUAAGUGUUGGUCAAUUAGUUGAGAAGGGCUAUAAAGUGAAAUUCGAAGGGAAUGAAUGUCUUAUUAAUAAUGCAGAUAGCAAAGAAGUGCUAAGAAUUCCAAUGGAGGACAAGAGUUUCAUGUUCAAGCCACAAGAGAUGCAACAAAUGGCUUUAAAAUGCAAAGAAGAAAAUGCAGAGAUAUGGCAUAAAAGACUUGGGCAUGUUCACAGGAAGAGCAUGUUGUUUAUGCAGAGAAAUAGCUUGGCAGAUGACUUGCCAAGUUUGGAGGAGAAAUUUCCACAGUGCAGAACUUGUCUUCUUGGCAAGCAAGUCAGAUUUCCUUUCAAAGGAGGAGGCUGGAGAGCAUGUGAGAAGCUGCAAUUAGUCCACACAGAUUUAUGUGGACCUAUGUCUGAGUCUUCUCUCAAUGGUAGCAGGUAUUUCAUUACCUUCACUAAUGAUAUGACUAGAAUGAGUUGGAUUUAUUUUCUGCGAGCCAAGUCUGAAGUUGCUGAUGUGUUUGUGAAGUUUAAAGCUUAGUUGAGAAUUAGAGUGUGAAGAAAAUUAAAAUGCUUAGGUCUGAUAAUGGUUAUGAGUAUACUGCUCAUAAGUUUAAGUUAAAUUGUGAGCAAGCAGGAAUUGUGAAACUGCUCCCUAUUCACCUCAACAGAAUGGGGUCAGUGAGAGGAAAAACAAAAGUAUUAUGGAGAUGGCCAGAUGUAUGAUGCAGGAGAAGAUGUUGCCUAAGAAGUUCUGGGCUGAAGUAGCUAAUACUGCAGUGUUCCUGUUGAACAGAUUGCCCACAAAGUCCUUAGAGAGGUCAACACCUUUUGAAGUCUGGUAUGGUGUUAAACAUUUUGUGAAAAAUUUGAAGGUUUUGGGGUGUUUGUGUUACACUCAUGUUCCUGAGGUCCAGAGGGACAAGCUGGAUAAGAAAGCAGAGCUUGGAAUCUCCAAUCAAAAGCUUACAGAAUUUUUCAUCCUACAGAAUUUUUCACCCUAUGACAGGGAAGGUGACUGUAAGCAGAGAUGUUGUUUUUCUAAAGGAAGAUGAGUGGAAUUGGAUGGAAGGAAAGAGUGCAGAACAGCAACAGUUUGAAAAACAACCUGCAACAAAUGUAGAGGUUGAUGAAGUUAUAGAUGGAUUGGAAGACAGUGUUGAUGAUUUACCAGUGAGAGGUACAAGGUCACUUGCUGAAAUCUAUGAAAGAAGCAAUGUGGCAAUGCUCGAACCAUCUAACUUUGUGGAAGCUAAAGAGGAUUAGAGGUGGAUUGCAGCAAUGCAGGAGGAGAUUUCAAUGAUCCAGAAAAACCACACAUGGGAGCUCGUUGACAAACCAUUUGAUAAGAAUGUGAUUGGGGUUAAGUGGGUGUUUAGAACAAAACUUAAUCCUAAUGGUUCUGUUAAUAAAUACAAAGCUAGACUGGUGGUGAAAGGCUAUGCACAAAUAUGGGGAGUAGACUAUUCUGAAACAUUUGCUCCUGUUGCACGACUUGAUACAAUAAGGUUACUGUUAGCUAUUGCAGCAGAGAAAGGGGUGGCAUAUAUUUCAGUUAGAUGUCAAGUCUACAUUUCUGAAUGGAGAGCUUGAGGAGGAGAUUUUUGUUGAACAACCUGAAGGCUUUAGUAUCAAAGGGCAAGAAGAGAGUGUAUACAGGUUGAAGAAAGCUCUAUAUGGACUGAAGCAGCUCCAAGAGCUUGGUAUGGGAAGAUAGAUCAAUAUUUGCAGAUUUUGGCUUCGUAAAAAGCUUAAGUGAGUUCNNNNNNNNNNNNNNNNNNNNNNNNNNNNNNNNNNNNNNNNNNNNNNNNNNNNNNNNNNNNNNNNNNNNNNNNNNNNNNNNNNNNNNNNNNNNNNNNNNNNNNNNGCAAGAUUUAUUUGCAGUUUUUGAGAUGUCAGACUUGGGAAAGAUGGCUUAUUUUUUGGGUUUGGAAGUCAAACAGGCUUCAUAUGAGAUCUUCAUCUGUCAAAAAAAAUACAUGAAGGAAAUUCUAAAGAAGUUUCAGAUGGAAGAUUGUCGAAAUGUAAGCACUCCUAUGGUUGCUAAAGAGAAGCUGCAGAAGAAUGAUGGAACAGAUGCAGUAGAUGCUUCUAUGUAUAGAAGUCUGAUUGGGUGUCUCAUGUAUCUUACAGCAACCAGACCAGAUAUUCUAUUUGCUGUGAGUGUUUUAUCCAGGUUUAUGAGUAGUCCUAGUCAGUUACAUUUGAUUGCAGCAAAAAGGGUAUUGAGAUAUCUCAAAGGAAUAUUGUUCUUUGGUGUGAAGUUUAAGAAAUGUCAGAAGUUUAAUUUGCAAGAAUUUUCUGAUAGUGACUGGGCUGGUUCAGUAGAUGACAUGAAGAGUACGUCUGGAUAUUGUUUCAGUUUUGGUUCUGCUUGUUUCUCUUGGUGUUCCAAAAAGCAAGAGAUUGUAGCUCAGUCUACUGCAGAGGCUGAGUUUAUAGCAGCUACUGCAACUUCAAAUCAAGCUUUAUGACUGAAGAAGAUAAUGAAAGAUCUGUGGUUGAAUUCUAGUGAUUGCAUUGAAGUUAAUGUGGAUAAUCAGGCCGCUUUAGCAAUAUCUCAGAAUCCAGUUUUCCAUGGCAAAACCAAGCAUUUCAAAGUCAAAUUUUUCUUUCUGCGUGAGGUGCAACAAAGUGGCGAAGUUAAGUUGGUCUAUUGCAAAUCUGAAGAUCAACUUGCAGACAUGUUCACAAAAUCACUUCAAGCUGGAAGAUUUGAAGUAUUAAGAAAGAAAAUUGGAGUAUGCAGCAGCAAGUGAUCCAAGGAGGAGUUUGUUGGAUUAUAAUGUUUCAGUUGCUAUUUUCUGUUUUGUUUUUUUACUCUGUUUUCUGCUGUUUUCUGUUAUGUUUUCUGCUCUGUUUUACUCUGUUUUUUUUAUAUUAAAAAACAGCCAAGUUCAAUUUAGUUAUUUAUUUAGUGUUUUUGUUAUUUUCUAGGAAGUUAAUAGCACGUUUGUGUGCAGUUAUGUGUUGCACGUACGUGAGCAGUUUUUGUUCUUGUUUAAGUUGUCUUGUACUUGACAGUUUCCUAAGAACAGAUGUAUGCAAGUUUGUGUUCUGUUUCUCUGCGCUUCUCUUCCUCAUCUGAAAAAUAUAGCUUCUGGUUUUCUAUUUUCUUGUUUACUGUUUUGAUCAGUAACAACAAAGGGAAAGUUAUAAAUGGAUGAAAGAGGUGUGAAGAAUCGAACUUGAGAUCUAUCUCUUGCCCUGAUAUCAUGUUGAAGUUAUGCAGAAAACUGUUUUCUUUCCCCUUUAAAGAAAAAUAGAAACAGCGUAUAUAUUUUUUGAAAAUUGUCGAAGUCCUAGGUGAAGGAAUAGAGUGUAAAUCAUGAUGACCUGAAUAGAAGAGGGACUGCCUCUCGGUCUGGCUCUCCAAACGGGAAAUCAAACAGGAGAGUGUCCUUCCAAGUUGCUGCUUUGGACAAAAACAAGUCUCCAUUGCUGUAGUACCUAAAUUUCCUAGCGUCGUCCCUGGAGUACCACUCUCCCUUCACUCCCUCAGGCUGCUCGUGGAACUGCUUGACAGCUUCCAACACGCCGUCCAUCACAUCGACCGGGAUCCCGUGGUUAAUUAUCUGGAAGAACCCCCACGUCUCCGACGCUCUACGGAGGUCGUCGACCACGUCUCGCCGCAGCCGGGAAUCCUGACAGCCCAUCAUGUCGAUGAUGGGGACCUUGAGGUCAGUGGCGGACCCCUCUGUGUCAGAGGACAAGUCGCGCAGGUUCUGGGGAGGGUGGAUGAAGAGCCUAGGGACCUUGGCCAUGCCGGAGUCGAUGAGGCCUUUGACGCCGGCUUUGGUCUCGUCGAAUUCCUUUGCUUCUUUCGCUCUGUCAUAGUGCGGGCCACUACAGGUGAUGGAUUCUCCAGGACUGGGCAAGGUUUGCAUCUUUGUAAGGAGAAGCUUUGAAGCCUAUUAAGGAUUCUCCAGAACCAAAGUAGAUCUCUCCUUCUUUCCUUCUCUCUUUCCCUUUUAUCUCCUCCUUUUUCUUUUUUCUUUUUUCUUUCUUUUCUCUCUCUCUCUGCUGAAGCUUCCACCUUUUUCCUCUACAUUGACUUUUCAACCCCUUAUUUUACAUGCCAAGUCGCCGUCCGAUCACGUCAGAUCCAAAGGGAACCUCAUCACCCUAUAGCGAUCACACGUCUAGAUUAGAGUUAAAGUCAAUUGAAGUAUCCAAUUUGUGCAAAUACUGAUGACAAUGUCCUAGACCAUAAAAUAAGGGGAGUGUUAUUUUACUCUUGAACAUUCUAAACAUCCAUUGACUGUACAUCAGCAACGGAAAAACAAAUCGCCUCGAUUAACCAGCAAUUAAAGAUGCCAGCAGAUCCACCAAUGGAAAAACAAAUCGCCUCAAUUAACCAGCAAUUAAAGAUGCCAGGCAGGGCUAAUGCAAUGCGACCACGGCAACAAGGCUAGUUACCGGCGUUGGAAGUCCACGGCCAUUUUCACCCACACAACUGCGGCACGCAACGAGAAAUAUCGAAAAUCUAAUUCCGAAAUGAACCUACUUCUAAAGAAAAUAUUUUGAAAAGCAAUCAUACAUGCGUGAAUUAAAGUCAUUCAUCCCUACCAGGCUUGAACAUACACAAGAAAGCACGGCCCUAAGGCAAAGGCACCAAAUCAAAAAGAUGUCAAAGCCGGUAGGUUACAACAUUAGUGGCAGCGCAGGGAGCUUUUUCAGACCAACUUCUACCAUUGACUUUUGCAACAGCUCCUGGAACAUUUACUCCAAUAAGGCCUCACAAUCAGAGACAGCUGCUACAGUUACUCAGCUCGUGAAUCACGGCGUCCAUGGAUGGCCUGUCAUAAGGAGACUCGUUGGUGCAGAGCGAGGCGAUUUUUGCAAGUUUAGCUGCCUCGUACUCGAAGAACCUUCCAUGGAUAUUCGCAUCAAUGAAUUCUUGGAAUCUACAUGAUUCAGCAGCCAGACGCAUGGAGUGAUCUACUUUCUGCUUCCCCGACAAGAUCUGGAACACGAUCAUUCCAAACGCGUAGACAUCACUCUUCUCUGUGAACCGGCCCGUGGACAUGUACUCAGGCGCUAGGUAGCCCAUGGCAGCACUAGCUUUGAGCAACGAGAACACAACAUCAUUUGUCAGGAGCCUGUGGAGACCAGAUUGGUAGAGCAACGGAUUGAAUCGCUGGUCUAUGAGCACCUUGUCUGCUGAGAUGUUUUGGUGAAGGAGGGGGGCC
Molecule: long non-coding RNA, 9981 nt
Filed under: Eucalyptus grandis
Lineage: Eukaryota; Viridiplantae; Streptophyta; Magnoliopsida; Myrtales; Myrtaceae
Description: long non-coding RNA (EGRA_LNC006612)
Source: RNAcentral